UACGUAGGGUGCGAGCGUUAAUCGGAAUCACUGGGCGUAAAGGGCGCGUAGGCGGUUUUGUAAGUCGGGGGUGAAAUGCUGCGGCUCAACCGCAGCGCUGCCUUCGAGACUGCAAGACUGGAGCACGGUAGAGGCGGAUGGAAUUCCCGGUGUAGCGGUGGAAUGCGUAGAGAUCGGGGAGAACACCAAUGGCGAAGGCAGUCCGCUGGGCCGUUGCUGACGCUGAGGCGCGACAGCGUGGGGAGCAAACAGG
RNAcentral lists this ribosomal RNA (253 nucleotides) under uncultured bacterium. RNAcentral describes it as "partial 16S ribosomal RNA". It matches the Rfam family "Bacterial small subunit ribosomal RNA", at positions 524 to 776 of the family's 1533-position model. The record is from RNAcentral.